AAUUACAGAAGGAAGUUUUCGGAUGGAAUUUUGUAAUUUUAGUGGCGGACGGGUGAGUAACACGUGGGUAACCUGCCCUGUACCGGGGGAUAACAGUUGGAAACGGCUGUUAAUACCGCAUAAGCGCACAGCUUCGCAUGAAGCAGUGUGAAAAACUCCGGUGGUACAGGAUGGACCCGCGUCUGAUUAGCUUGUUGGCGGGGUAACAGCCCACCAAGGCGACGAUCAGUAGCCGGCCUGAGAGGGUGAACGGCCACAUUGGGACUGAGACACGGCCCAGACUCCUACGGGAGGCAGCAGUGGGGAAUAUUGGGCAAUGGGCGAAAGCCUGACCCAGCAACGCCGCGUGAAGGAUGAAGGUCUUCGGAUUGUAAACUUCUUUGAUUGGGGAAGAAUAAAAUGACCUACCCAAAGAACAAGCCACGGCUAACUACGUGCCAGCAGCCGCGGUAAUACGUAGGGGGCAAGCGUUAUCCGGAUUUACUGGGUGUAAAGGGAGC
This 500-nucleotide ribosomal RNA is filed under the name uncultured bacterium. Its description in RNAcentral is "bacterial SSU rRNA". It matches the Rfam family "Bacterial small subunit ribosomal RNA", at positions 47 to 570 of the family's 1533-position model. The record is from RNAcentral.